RNAcentral lists this ribosomal RNA (373 nucleotides) under uncultured bacterium. Its description in RNAcentral is "bacterial SSU rRNA". It matches the Rfam family "Bacterial small subunit ribosomal RNA", at positions 521 to 896 of the family's 1533-position model. The record is from RNAcentral.
UAAUACGGAGGGUGCAAGCGUUAUCCGGAUUCACUGGGUUUAAAGGGUGCGUAGGUGGGUCUGUAAGUCAGUGGUGAAAUCUCCGGGCUUAACCCGGAAACUGCCAUUGAUACUAUAGGUCUUGAAUCUUCUGGAGGUCAGCGGAAUAUGUCAUGUAGCGGUGAAAUGCUUAGAUAUGACAUAGAACACCAAUUGCGAAGGCAGCUGACUACGGGAGCAUUGACACUGAGGCACGAAAGCGUGGGGAUCAAACAGGAUUAGAUACCCUGGUAGUCCACGCCCUAAACGAUGGAUACUCGACAUACGCGAUACACAGUGUGUGUCUGAGCGAAAGCAUUAAGUAUCCCACCUGGGAAGUACGACCGCAAGGUUG